CUGCACUCCAGCCUGGGCGACAGAGCGAGACUCCGUCUCGAAAAAAAAAACAAAAACAGAUGUCCCCUAACAGACAACACCAAAUAAGAUCCACAUAAGAAAUUAAAUCUUUUUUUUUUUUUUUAGAUGUUUCUCAGUGGUAAAUGUCUUUACCUCUCAGACCAAGUCCACAUACUGUAUUUUGUAUUUGAUUUAUUUUAACAGUUCCAAUUUAUGUGACUAUUGUGUUUUCAGAAGGCAUAUUUAUGAGUUAACCUUCUAGUUAAAUAAUCACAUUAAUUAAAAAUAGUGCUUGAGCUAUUGUAUAUGUUACCUGCUUUUUAAGAUAUGUAGUAUAUAGUAGAAAGCUAUAGCCUUUGUAUCGUGAAUUUGAAUUUAACUCCUGUUGCUGUUAUUUAUGCUUUGACCCUCUACAAUUUUCUUUUUCAUGCCUGUUUCCUCUUUUGUAAAAUUGAGGAGUUCCAUCUGGAAUAUGACAAAUUAGAAGAACGGCCUCACCUGCCAUCCACCUUCAACUACAACCCUGCUCAGCAAGCCUUCUAAAAAAAAAAAAA
Molecule: small RNA, 554 nt
Filed under: Pongo abelii (Sumatran orangutan)
Lineage: Eukaryota; Metazoa; Chordata; Mammalia; Primates; Hominidae
Description: processed transcript
Source: RNAcentral